UACGUAGGGUGCAAGCGUUAAUCGGAAUUACUGGGCGUAAAGCGUGCGCAGGCGGUUAUGUAAGACAGAUGUGAAAUGCCCGGGCUCAACCUGGGAACUGCAUUUGUGACUGCAUCGCUGGAGUGCGGCAGAGGGGGAUGGAAUUCCGCGUGUAGCAGUGAAAUGCGUAGAUAUGCGGAGGAACACCGAUGGCGAAGGCAAUCCCCUGGGCCUGCACUGACGCUCAUGCACGAAAGCGUGGGGAGCAAACAGG
This 253-nucleotide ribosomal RNA is filed under the name uncultured bacterium. RNAcentral describes it as "partial 16S ribosomal RNA". It matches the Rfam family "Bacterial small subunit ribosomal RNA", at positions 524 to 776 of the family's 1533-position model. The record is from RNAcentral.